This 239-nucleotide ribosomal RNA is filed under the name uncultured bacterium. Its description in RNAcentral is "partial 16S ribosomal RNA". It matches the Rfam family "Bacterial small subunit ribosomal RNA", at positions 92 to 334 of the family's 1533-position model. The record is from RNAcentral.
CGAGCGGCGAACGGGUGAGUAAUGCUUGGGAAUCUGCCCAUUAGUGGGGAACAACCAGCCGAAAGGUUGGCUAAUACCGCAUACGCCCUACGGGGGAAAGCGGGGGAUCGUAAGACCUCGCGCUAAUGGAUGAGCCCAAGUCGGAUUAGCUUGUUGGUAGGGUAACGGCCUACCAAGGCGACAAUCCGUAGCUGGUCUGAGAGGACGACCAGCCACACUGGGACUGAGACACGGCCCAG